Molecule: long non-coding RNA, 568 nt
Filed under: Homo sapiens (human)
Lineage: Eukaryota; Metazoa; Chordata; Mammalia; Primates; Hominidae
Description: non-protein coding lnc-ZFAND1-1:3
Source: RNAcentral
ACCCGGCCCUCUGGGAGUUGAGCGAGAGCAGAGAAAAGUUGAAAAGACCGACAAAGACUGUGGGAAGUUGGCUUUUAUCCACACUAGGGACGGUCCCAGGAACGAGGAACUAGUUUGUGAAUGGCUCAAAGAAAAGCAAACCGAUGUCCAGGGGUCUUGUGCAGGACCUGAAAGUAUUUUCUUCCAUUUGUGUGUGAUGAUUGUUCAGGAAUAUUUUGGUGACUGUAAUCAAUGAGAGACUGAAGACAGAUCAACAUACAUCUUACCCAUGCUCUUUCAAAGACUGUGCUGAGAGAGAACUUGUGGCAGUUAUAUGUCCUUAUUGUGAGAAGAAUUUUUGCCUGAGACACCGUCAUCAGUCAGAUCAUGAGUGUGAAAAACUGGAAAUCCCAAAGCCUCGAAUGGCUGCCACUCAGAAACUUGUUAAAGACAUUAUUGGUAAGUAUCUAGAAAGCGUGUUUUGUUGCUUUCCUAGUUCCAGAGCUCCUGCUUCUUAUAUCUACUUUCCAAUUAUGGGAGGCAUCAUUAAUAACCCCAGUGGUAUUCGUAUUAACUUGUAUUUUGAUGA